GAAGUCCACUGAACCUUAUCAUUUAGAGGAAGGAGAAGUUGUAAUAAGGUCUCCGUAGGUGAACCUGCGGAAGGAUCAUUGUCAAAAAUUGCUAAACAGAGUGACCCGUGGAUAUGUUGGAAUAAGUCAUUGGGGGUGCGGUGCCUAAUAUGGCACAGCACCCACAAUUGCGACCGAGCCCGUGCCUUAAAGUCUACCCCAGGAAUGGCAAUGAGCAAGCAGUGUUUGGCUUGGCACAAGAAAAAACCCCAGCUUGGAUCACUCCAAGAAAUAGUAACAGAGCAUGCGUUGCCUUACCGCUAGAUGCCCGGUUAGUGAGGUGGCGACCUGUCGUAUUUGAAUGACUCUUGGCAACAGAUAUCUUGGCUCUCGCAUCGAUGAAGUACGUAGCAAAAUGCAAUACUUGGUGUGAAUUGUAGAAUCCCAUGAACCAUCGAGUUUUUGAACUCAAGUUGCGUCCGAAGCCUCUAGGCUGAGAGCAGGUCUGCCUGGGUGUCACGCAUAGCCACACCCCCAACCAAGCCAUUGUGUCUCUACAUGCUAGGUUGGGGUGAGGAGUGGCCUCCUGUGUGUUGUUGUGUGGUUGGCCUAAAAGUUGAGCUCACGACUACGCCACGAUGUUCAGUGGUCGGCAAGGUGAAGGCAAAUGUUGCAUCGCGUAGCGCAAAACAUGUCGCCCGUGGAUCUCGCAUGACCCCGCUGCAUCGACCGUACGACACCAAUGCAGCGACCCGUCAUCUGGAGGGGCUACCUGCUGAGCUUAAUCAUAUCAAUAAGUAGAGGAAAAGAAACUUAGAAGGAUUUCCCAAGUAAUGACGAGCAAACUAAGAAGUACCCAGCUAUAGAAUCGGGCGGCUUUGUCGCCUGAAUUGUAGUCUGGAGAAGCG
Molecule: ribosomal RNA, 887 nt
Filed under: Nepenthes danseri
Lineage: Eukaryota; Viridiplantae; Streptophyta; Magnoliopsida; Caryophyllales; Nepenthaceae
Description: eukaryotic LSU rRNA
Rfam family: 5.8S ribosomal RNA (bases 343-498)
Source: RNAcentral